This 495-nucleotide ribosomal RNA is filed under the name uncultured bacterium. Its description in RNAcentral is "partial 16S ribosomal RNA". It matches the Rfam family "Bacterial small subunit ribosomal RNA", at positions 28 to 507 of the family's 1533-position model. The record is from RNAcentral.
GACGAACGCUGGCGGCGUGCCUAAUACAUGCAAGUAGAACGCUGAAGGAGGAGCUUGCUUCUCUGGAUGAGUUGCGAACGGGUGAGUAACGCGUAGGUAACCUGCCUGGUAGUGGGGGAUAACUAUUGGAAACGAUAGCUAAUACCGCAUAAUAGCAGUUGUUGCAUGAUAACUGUUUGAAAGGUGCAAUUGCACCGCUACCAGAUGGACCUGCGUUGUAUUAGCUAGUUGGUGGGGUAACGGCUCACCAAGGCGACGAUACAUAGCCGACCUGAGAGGGGGGUCGGCCACACUGGGACUGAGACACGGCCCAGACUCCUACGGGAGGCAGCAGUAGGGAAUCUUCGGCAAUGGACGGAAGUCUGACCGAGCAAAGCCGCGUGAGUGAAGAAGGGUUUCGGAUCGUAAAGCUCUGUUGUAAGAGAAGAACGAGUGUGAGAGUGGAAAGUUCACACUGUGACGGUAUCUUACCAGAAAGGGACGGCUAACUACGUG